CCUACGGGAGGCAGCAGUGAGGAAUAUUGGUCAAUGGGCGUAAGCCUGAACCAGCCAAGUCGCGUGAGGGAUGACUGCCCUAUGGGUUGUAAACUUCUUUUAUAAAGGAAUAAAACGAGGCACGUGUGCCUUUUUGCAUGUACUUUAUGAAUAAGGAUCGGCUAACUCCGUGCCAGCAGCCGCGGUAAUACGGAGGAUCCGAGCGUUAUCCGGAUUUAUUGGGUUUAAAGGGAGCGUAGAUGGGUUGUUAAGUCAGUUGUGAAAGUUUGCGGCUCAACCGUAAAAUUGCAAUUGAUACUGGCUGUCUAGAGUACAGUUGAGGUAGGCGGAAUUCGUGGUGUAGCGGUGAAAUGCUUAGAGAUCACGAAGAACCCCGAUUGCGAAGGCAGCUUACUAAACUGUGACUGACAUUGAUGCUCGAAAGUGUGGGUAUCAAACAGGAUUAGAUACCCCGGUAGUC
Molecule: ribosomal RNA, 460 nt
Filed under: uncultured bacterium
Lineage: Bacteria
Description: partial 16S ribosomal RNA
Rfam family: Bacterial small subunit ribosomal RNA
Source: RNAcentral